RNAcentral lists this ribosomal RNA (483 nucleotides) under uncultured bacterium. RNAcentral describes it as "partial 16S ribosomal RNA". It matches the Rfam family "Bacterial small subunit ribosomal RNA", at positions 28 to 507 of the family's 1533-position model. The record is from RNAcentral.
GAUGAACGCUAGCGGCAGGCCUAAUACAUGCAAGCCGAACGGCAAGUUUGAUAGCAAUAUUGGACCUAGAGUGGCGCAAGGGUGCGUAACACGUAUGCAACCUGCCCGCGACAGGAGGAUAGCUCCCCGAAAGGGGAAUUAACCCUCCAUAACACCAUGAGAAGGCCUCUGAUUAUGGUUAAACCGCAAGGGGUCGCGGAUGGGCAUGCGGUUGAUUAGCUAGUUGGCGGGGUAAAGGCCCACCAAGGCGGUGAUCAAUAGGGGUUCUGAGAGGAAGGUCCCCCACACUGGCACAGAGAUACGGGUCAGACUCCUACGGGAGGCAGCAGUAGGGAAUAUUGGACAAUGGUUGUAAGACUGAUCCAGCCAGGCCGCGUGCAGGAAGAAGGCCUCCUGGGUCGUAAACUGCUGUUUACUGUGGAUAAAAUACCCGUGCGCGGGGAAUUGAAGGUAACAGGGGAAUAAGCCACGGCUAACUACGUG